This is a long non-coding RNA of Gavialis gangeticus (Gharial), 170 nucleotides long. RefSeq lists it as uncharacterized. NCBI's taxonomy places the organism in Eukaryota, Metazoa, Chordata, Crocodylia, Gavialidae. The transcript is spliced from 3 exons. The record is from RefSeq and is a predicted model, not a curated record.
AGGCAUUACUUAAAUAGCUGCCUGAAAUUCAGCUCCCUAUCCUAUUCCUGCUUUUUCCAGAGAUGGAAUUGAUAUUGAAUCAGAAGAUUAGGAAAAAUCAUUGUUGCCUGCCCCGAACAGAUCAGGCAGCAAGAACAGACAGUGGUCUUCUGAAGAUACAGCAAUGCUGA